AGUGAACGCUGGCGGUAGGCCUAACACAUGCAAGUCGAACGGCAGCACAGUAAGAGCUUGCUCUUACGGGUGGCGAGUGGCGGACGGGUGAGGAAUACAUCGGAAUCUACUUUUUCGUGGGGGAUAACGUAGGGAAACUUACGCUAAUGCCGCAUACGACCUACGGGUGAAAGCAGGGGAUCUUCGGACCUUGCGCGAUUGAAUGAGCCGAUGUCGGAUUAGCUAGUUGGCGGGGUAAAGGCCCACCAAGGCGACGAUCCGUAGCUGGUCUGAGAGGAUGAUCAGCCACACUGGAACUGAGACACGGUCCAGACUCCUACGGGAGGCAGCAGUGGGGAAUAUUGGACAAUGGGCGCAAGCCUGUUCCAGCCAUACCGCGUGGGUGAAGAAGGCCUUCGGGUUGUAAAGCCCUUUUGUUGGGAAAGAAAAGCAGCAGGUUAAUACCCCGCUGUUCUGACGGUACCCAAAGAAUAAGCACCGGCUAACUUCGUG
Molecule: ribosomal RNA, 492 nt
Filed under: uncultured bacterium
Lineage: Bacteria
Description: partial 16S ribosomal RNA
Rfam family: Bacterial small subunit ribosomal RNA
Source: RNAcentral